AGGACGACGCUGGCGGCGUGCCUAAUACAUGCAAGUCGAACGGUCUUUCUAUGGAAGCUUGCUUCCACUGAGAAGAUAGUGGCGAACGGGUGAGUAACACGUGGGUAACCUGCCCAUAAGAGGGGGAUAACAUCCGGAAACGGGUGCUAAUACCGCAUAGUUUUCUUGAUCGCAUGAUCGGGAAGGAAAGACGGCCUUUGUGCUGUCGCUUAUGGAUGGACCCGCGGCGUAUUAGUUAGUUGGUGAGGUAACGGCUCACCAAGACGAUGAUACGUAGCCGACCUGAGAGGGUGAUCGGCCACAUUGGGACUGAGACACGGCCCAAACUCCUACGGGAGGCAGCAGUAGGGAAUCUUCCGCAAUGGACGAAAGUCUGACGGAGCAACGCCGCGUGAGUGAAGAAAGGUUUUCGGAUCGUAAAACUCUGUUGUCAGAGAAGAACAAGUUGGAGAGUAACUGCUCCAGCCUUGACGGUAUCUGACCAGAAAGCCACGGCUAACUACGUGCCAGCCGCCGC
RNAcentral lists this ribosomal RNA (517 nucleotides) under uncultured bacterium. Its description in RNAcentral is "bacterial SSU rRNA". It matches the Rfam family "Bacterial small subunit ribosomal RNA", at positions 32 to 518 of the family's 1533-position model. The record is from RNAcentral.